GUGAAAUGCAGUUGCACAUACAAUUUAUCUAAAUGUAAGCAAGAAUUGUCAUACAAUUAUAAAGUAGAGUGCAAAUAGAGCUACCUGCCUUUUCAAGAAUAGUCUUAGAUGGAUAAAACACCUAGUCCAAAUUAUAGAUGCGAAGGAAAUAUCAAAUACAUAGAAAAUACAACAGAUAGAACACACACAGAGACACCAACAACAACUAAACUAGUACUGCCAAUGGUAGAGCUUAGAAUAGUGAUUUGAUGGAACUUAUGGUUUGUGCCAAAGUCAUAAUCAGUAGCAGUGCCGCUGCAAUAGUCGCAGUCCCUCUCCAAAGAUUGCUGAAAUAGACAAGUUUGAGGGUUGCCUUCCUGCGAUUCCAACUACUCUUAUAGUAUUUAUUCAACUUUUGACAAAUAGCAGUGUAACAAGACCCAUAUACAUCCAUUCCUUGGCAGAGAUUGUUAAUCAAAUUCGCCAUCAUUUUGUUGCUGCCUAGCCAAUGAAUAAUAAUUCCAGCAUCUGUGAGCAAAUCCACAUCUUCAGCAGUGUUGAUAAGAUGAUCCAUCAGGAAAAUGUAAUUGCAAAUGUAACUUUCAUAUUGAUACUGACACUGUUCCAAUGCCAUGACGUUUCUAAAUACAAUUUCAAAGUUUUCGUUGAUUUCAAGGACUGGCAUUUUCAAAACACCACUUUUAACAUCAAAUUCUAUGUCUAGCAAGGACUUACUGCCUUCCGCCACCUUAAACACUACUCCUGCUUGAUGCAAUUUGCUUGCACUAUACUUGAGUUUCGUAUGAUCAGGAGACCACGUCUGGGAGGCUCGGGAUGCGCCACACAAAAAAUAUCUCAUCAAACCAACAAAAUGCAAUAUGUCAUCAUCCUUCAAAGACUUAUAGACUUCAUUCUGAUUGUAUAUCGUGAAGCACUCGCAGACAAGCCCAGAAAAUUUUGCUUUUACUUUCAAUUCUGCAUAUAAUACGUUGAGAAUAAAAUACGGCAGCUGAUUUUCAAGUAGUAACAAAUCCAGCACCACAACUUUUCUCAGCGUUGGUUGACCAAUUAUAAAAUCAUUUUUAUAUUCUGAAUCUAGGCCUCUCAAAACAAACUCGAUGAUGAACACAGCAUCCAACAAAACCAUUUUUACAAACUUACUAGAAUCACCAAAAUUAGAGUUGUCUACAUAACAACUGCUUAUACGAUCUUUGUGGUCUCUAAUAAUGCUCGAAAAAUCACUCACAACUUCCUUUUCAGUCUUCCCACUCAUCCUUUUACAGAAUUCUUUAAAAUAUAUCAGUUUCUGAUUUUCCAUCUUAUCAAAUCUUUUUUUGCCAUGAUGAAUAGGGCCUAUAGAAAUUACCUGAGGAGUGUAGGCUUUUUUAUUUAUUAUGGGAAUUGUAGUUGGAAUAUUGUAGAUGCAAUUCUCAAGCUUCAAGGAAUUCUCCUUGGGGAUUUCAAUUACCAAUUCCUCGCGUUCUUGUUCAUCCAUUUGAUCCAUCUGUCAGACGUUUGCCCCCCUUGCACCAAAAAACUCAAAAUCUGGCUUCUUCCACAAAUGAGACUAUGCCGGGUAACAGAGGAGCUCCUGCUAAUUAAAAGCUGUGAUUAAAUUUUGAUGUGUGUAUAUAAUUUGAUUUCUC
This 1625-nucleotide unclassified non-coding RNA is filed under the name Hevea brasiliensis (rubber tree). The record is from RNAcentral. Lineage: Eukaryota; Viridiplantae; Streptophyta; Magnoliopsida; Malpighiales; Euphorbiaceae.